Molecule: long non-coding RNA, 589 nt
Organism: Anopheles arabiensis
Lineage: Eukaryota; Metazoa; Arthropoda; Insecta; Diptera; Culicidae
Exons: 3
Source: RefSeq, a predicted model, not a curated record
UCUGUGGCAAACAAUUGGAGGGGGAGGAUGUGUCGGUUUGCUCCAGAAAUCGUGUGUGAUUUUGGUGUUCUGGAUUUGGUUCCAUCGCUGUUUGUUUUGGUGGAAUUGAAAAGCAUCGCCGAGGAUGUGAUCGAAUGCGGAAUAUUCUAAACGAGGAGAUUCAUUCCGGAUUUUGUUUGCAAUAAGCGCUGAACUCAUCCUCCAGCUUACAACGAACGGUCAACGGAUGAGGAAGGAGAGGAGGGACGGCAAAGGUACACGCACAAACGUGCACACCUCAGCCUUGUCGGAGAACGAGAACACGGGAGGGGGAGACCGGCAACGUAGGUUCUAUACGUUCUUCAUUUACGCUCCCUCGUGCGUUCGUGCGUGCGUGCACGCGCGCGUCUGUGUGUGUGUGUAUGUGUGUGCAUGCCUGCGUGCGUGGCUGUGUGUGUUUUUGCCGCUUCGCUUAACGAGAUCCUACGGGAUCACCUUGUGAAAAACACCAAGAGAGGGGGAGGGGUAGGUGUAUGUGUAUGUGUGUGUAUGUGUGCUUGCAUGCGUACGUGGUUGUGAGUGUGUUUUUUGCUGUUUCGCGAUCUCCUAC